UGGGUGAUUAGUUUAUAUAAGAAUUUUACUUUGUGGUAGUAAAGGAAGUUGUGCUAUCGCCUAU
This 64-nucleotide transfer RNA is filed under the name Cerastoderma edule. RNAcentral's name for it is "tRNA-His". The record is from RNAcentral. Lineage: Eukaryota; Metazoa; Mollusca; Bivalvia; Cardiida; Cardiidae.